GAUGAACGCUGGCGGCGUGCCUAAUACAUGCAAGUCGAGCGAACAGACGAGGAGCUUGCUCCUCUGACGUUAGCGGCGGACGGGUGAGUAACACGUGGAUAACCUACCUAUAAGACUUGGAUAACUUCGGGAAACCGGAGCUAAUACCGGAUAAUAUAUUGAACCGCAUGGUUCAAUAGUGAAAGACGGUUUUGCUGUCACUUAUAGAUGGAUCCGCGCCGCAUUAGCUAGUUGGUAAGGUAACGGCUUACCAAGGCAACGAUGCGUAGCCGACCUGAGAGGGUGAUCGGCCACACGGGAACUGAGACACGGUCCAGACUCCUACGGGAGGCAGCAGUAGGGAAUCGUCCGCAAUGGGCGAAAGCCUGACGGAGCAACGCCGCGUGAGUGAUGAAGGUCUUCGGAUCGUAAAACUCUGUUAUUAGGGAAGAACAAAUGUGUAAGUAACUAUGCACGUCUUGACGGUACCUAAUCAGAAAGCCACGGCUAACUACGUG
This 497-nucleotide ribosomal RNA is filed under the name uncultured bacterium. RNAcentral describes it as "partial 16S ribosomal RNA". It matches the Rfam family "Bacterial small subunit ribosomal RNA", at positions 28 to 507 of the family's 1533-position model. The record is from RNAcentral.